Molecule: ribosomal RNA, 468 nt
Filed under: uncultured bacterium
Lineage: Bacteria
Description: partial 16S ribosomal RNA
Rfam family: Bacterial small subunit ribosomal RNA
Source: RNAcentral
GACGAACGCUGGCGGCGUGCUUAACACAUGCAAGUCGAACGGAAAGGCCCUGCUUUUGUGGUGUGCUCGGUUGGCGAACGGGUGAGUAACACGUGAGUAACCUGCCCUUGACUUUGGGAUAACUUCAGGUAACUGGGGCUAAUACCGUAUAGGAGCUCCUGCUGCAUUGUGGGGGUUGGAAAUUUUCGGCGGUUGGGGUUGGACUCGCGGCUUAUCAGCUUGUUGGUGGGGUAGUGGCUUACCCAGGCUUUGACGGGUAGCCGGCCUGAGAGGGUGACCGGAGUCAUUGCGACUGAGAGACGGACCAGAGUCCUACGGGAGGCAGCAGUGGGGAACAUUGCACAAUGGGCGGAAGCCGGAUGCAGCGACGCCGGGUGCGGGAUGACGGUUUUCGGGUUAUAAACAGCUUUAGCCUGUGACGAAGCGUGAGUGACGGUAACGGGUAAAGAAGCACCGGCUAACUACGUG